Xenia sp. Carnegie-2017 is the source of this 260-nucleotide long non-coding RNA. RefSeq lists it as uncharacterized. The transcript is spliced from 3 exons. NCBI's taxonomy places the organism in Eukaryota, Metazoa, Cnidaria, Anthozoa, Malacalcyonacea, Xeniidae. The record is from RefSeq and is a predicted model, not a curated record.
UUCGAUACGAGAAAUCGUCGGGAUUUGAGAUUAUUGAUGAUCCUACUUCACCUGAUGAUCCUCACGCUCUUAUUUCGCUAUCUGGACUUUAACACAAGAUCACGAAUAUGAGACGAUAAAGACAAAUUCCGGUUACAAAUACAGGCGCUGCGUCAAACCGUGGUUCACUAAUGCCUUUGAAAUCGGCGAGGUUUUAUUUCUGCUGUGGGGUGUUUGGCUUUGUAUCCGUGUACGAAAUGCUCCCUCGGCGUACAACGAGA